RNAcentral lists this long non-coding RNA (1193 nucleotides) under Corvus moneduloides (New Caledonian crow). RNAcentral describes it as "lncRNA (ENSCMUG00000017107.1)". The record is from RNAcentral. Lineage: Eukaryota; Metazoa; Chordata; Aves; Passeriformes; Corvidae.
CAGGUUCAAAGCUUGACCCUGGUUUUGCUUUUUAAGUGCUGAUGAUUUUUACAGUUUCCUCCUAUUCUUGUCUAUGCAGAUUAGAAAACUGAUUAUAUAAAAUACAGGAUCAAGUGAGAGGGAGGAGAAUGGAGAAAUAAAUACUCUAUUCAGAGUGUUUCUGGCUUUACUCAUUUGCUGCUUUGAAAACGUGUAUGUGAACAGUCUAGAGAUAGUCAUGGCAAAUCCAUAGGAGAUCAAUAAAGGUACAAAUUAAAUGCUUCUGGUUGUGCUUGACUAACUUGGAAACACAAAACCAACUCCCAAUCAUUAAUUCCUUGUCUAACUGUUUACAGCUUUUCUACUGAGAGCAAGGAGUUACUGGUAGAACACCAGAAACAACUGGAGGAGUCCCCAGGUUUGGAGCAGUCCCUUAGGGCUCAGGAUAACAUUUUCUUACCUCUGGAACCUACAAAUUCAGCUGGAAUGGAACCUAUAGCCACACUCAUUACAGUAGAAGACAAAAAGGGUGCAUUUCUGGUAAGGAUCACCUCUGGAAUUACAUUAAUGCCUAAAGAAAGCGUAACCCAGGUUAUAUUUGCCUUAAGAUAGGACCAACACAAGACUCAUUUGGCAGUUUUAGGAAGUCAAAAUAAGCCUUGUGUGUUGGUUAUGUGCACUUUUUCCUUAAGACAUUAACUCUGUCUCCUAAAUAUUUGUAUUCUAGGAACCUGUGCUGGAGGAAAAGGCACUUCUUUCAAACCCAAACACUGAUCCUAAAGAUAAUGAAGAUAUUAAUCCAUAUGGCAGCAAGUACCCAGUGAAAGGCCUGGGGAUCCUUCCUACUUGGUGUAACUUAUGCCUGGUUCAGGCAGAAAAUACUCUUGAAGGAACAGUUAAAGAAGUGGAAGUGCUUGUCUCUUCUGAGAUCCAUCAGGUGGAUGCCAGUCAAUGUUUGAAGCAUUUGGACCAUAUUUCUCAUGAAGCUUCUGAUGAAGAACUAAAUUUAAAAGCAUUUUCUGAAGGAUUAACUUCCACUGAAUCAUCAUCCAAGUCAAACAACUUCUUUUUGAAAUGUGAAAGUGCCAAAUCAGGCUCUUCACCCCCAGCAUUUCAGAAAGUGUCUGCAGUCGACAUCUCGAACAGUUCCAUUUCAGACCUGGUAUUAGAGCUGAAACAUGGAGAGGACACAGAUGUCAGUGUCCCAGAAGAGU